This 2903-nucleotide ribosomal RNA is filed under the name Enterobacter hormaechei. RNAcentral describes it as "23S ribosomal RNA". It matches the Rfam family "Bacterial large subunit ribosomal RNA". The record is from RNAcentral. Lineage: Bacteria; Pseudomonadati; Pseudomonadota; Gammaproteobacteria; Enterobacterales; Enterobacteriaceae.
UUAAGCGACUAAGCGUACACGGUGGAUGCCCUGGCAGUCAGAGGCGAUGAAGGACGUGCUAAUCUGCGAAAAGCGCCGGCGAGGUGAUAUGAACCUUUGACCCGGCGAUGUCCGAAUGGGGAAACCCAGUGCAAUCCGUUGCACUAUCGUUAACUGAAUACAUAGGUUAACGAGGCGAACCGGGGGAACUGAAACAUCUAAGUACCCCGAGGAAAAGAAAUCAACCGAGAUUCCCCCAGUAGCGGCGAGCGAACGGGGAGCAGCCCGGAGUCUGAAUCAGCUUGUGUGUUAGUGGAACGGUCUGGAAAGUCCGACGGUACAGGGUGAUAGUCCCGUACACGAAAGCACACAUGCUGUGAACUCGAAGAGUAGGGCGGGACACGUGGUAUCCUGUCUGAAUAUGGGGGGACCAUCCUCCAAGGCUAAAUACUCCUGACUGACCGAUAGUGAACCAGUACCGUGAGGGAAAGGCGAAAAGAACCCCGGCGAGGGGAGUGAAAAAGAACCUGAAACCGUGUACGUACAAGCAGUGGGAGCCUCUUUAUGGGGUGACUGCGUACCUUUUGUAUAAUGGGUCAGCGACUUAUAUUCUGUAGCAAGGUUAACCGUAUAGGGGAGCCGAAGGGAAACCGAGUCUUAACUGGGCGUUAAGUUGCAGGGUAUAGACCCGAAACCCGGUGAUCUAGCCAUGGGCAGGUUGAAGGUUGGGUAACACUAACUGGAGGACCGAACCGACUAAUGUUGAAAAAUUAGCGGAUGACCUGUGGCUGGGGGUGAAAGGCCAAUCAAACCGGGAGAUAGCUGGUUCUCCCCGAAAGCUAUUUAGGUAGCGCCUCGUGAAUUCAUCUUCGGGGGUAGAGCACUGUUUCGGCUAGGGGGCCAUCCCGGCUUACCAACCCGAUGCAAACUACGAAUACCGAAGAAUGUUAUCACGGGAGACACACGGCGGGUGCUAACGUCCGUCGUGAAGAGGGAAACAACCCAGACCGCCAGCUAAGGUCCCAAAGUCAUGGUUAAGUGGGAAACGAUGUGGGAAGGCACAGACAGCCAGGAUGUUGGCUUAGAAGCAGCCAUCAUUUAAAGAAAGCGUAAUAGCUCACUGGUCGAGUCGGCCUGCGCGGAAGAUGUAACGGGGCUAAACCAUGCACCGAAGCUGCGGCAGCGACACUUAUGUGUUGUUGGGUAGGGGAGCGUUCUGUAAGCCGUUGAAGGUGUGCUGUGAGGCAUGCUGGAGGUAUCAGAAGUGCGAAUGCUGACAUAAGUAACGAUAAAGCGGGUGAAAAGCCCGCUCGCCGGAAGACCAAGGGUUCCUGUCCAACGUUAAUCGGGGCAGGGUGAGUCGACCCCUAAGGCGAGGCCGAAAGGCGUAGUCGAUGGGAAACAGGUUAAUAUUCCUGUACUUGGUGUUACUGCGAAGGGGGGACGGAGAAGGCUAUGUCAGCCGGGCGACGGUUGUCCCGGUUUAAGCAUGUAGGCGGAGGUUCCAGGUAAAUCCGGUACCUUUUAACGCUGAGGUGUGAUGACGAGGCACUACGGUGCUGAAGUGAUAAAUGCCCUGCUUCCAGGAAAAGCCUCUAAGCAUCAGGUAACACGAAAUCGUACCCCAAACCGACACAGGUGGUCAGGUAGAGAAUACCAAGGCGCUUGAGAGAACUCGGGUGAAGGAACUAGGCAAAAUGGUGCCGUAACUUCGGGAGAAGGCACGCUGAUGUGUAGGUGAAGCCCCUGCGGGUGGAGCUGAAAUCAGUCGAAGAUACCAGCUGGCUGCAACUGUUUAUUAAAAACACAGCACUGUGCAAACACGAAAGUGGACGUAUACGGUGUGACGCCUGCCCGGUGCCGGAAGGUUAAUUGAUGGGGUUAGCGGCAACGCGAAGCUCUUGAUCGAAGCCCCGGUAAACGGCGGCCGUAACUAUAACGGUCCUAAGGUAGCGAAAUUCCUUGUCGGGUAAGUUCCGACCUGCACGAAUGGCGUAAUGAUGGCCAGGCUGUCUCCACCCGAGACUCAGUGAAAUUGAACUCGCUGUGAAGAUGCAGUGUACCCGCGGCAAGACGGAAAGACCCCGUGAACCUUUACUAUAGCUUGACACUGAACACUGGUCCUUGAUGUGUAGGAUAGGUGGGAGGCUUUGAAGCGUGGACGCCAGUCUGCGUGGAGCCAACCUUGAAAUACCACCCUUUAAUGGCUGGUGUUCUAACGUGGACCCGUAAUCCGGGUUGCGGACAGUGUCUGGUGGGUAGUUUGACUGGGGCGGUCUCCUCCCAAAGAGUAACGGAGGAGCACGAAGGUUGGCUAAUCCUGGUCGGACAUCAGGAGGUUAGUGCAAUGGCAUAAGCCAGCUUGACUGCGAGCGUGACGGCGCGAGCAGGUGCGAAAGCAGGUCAUAGUGAUCCGGUGGUUCUGAAUGGAAGGGCCAUCGCUCAACGGAUAAAAGGUACUCCGGGGAUAACAGGCUGAUACCGCCCAAGAGUUCAUAUCGACGGCGGUGUUUGGCACCUCGAUGUCGGCUCAUCACAUCCUGGGGCUGAAGUAGGUCCCAAGGGUAUGGCUGUUCGCCAUUUAAAGUGGUACGCGAGCUGGGUUUAGAACGUCGUGAGACAGUUCGGUCCCUAUCUGCCGUGGGCGCUGGAGAAUUGAGGGGGGCUGCUCCUAGUACGAGAGGACCGGAGUGGACGCAUCACUGGUGUUCGGGUUGUCAUGCCAAUGGCAUUGCCCGGUAGCUAAAUGCGGAAGAGAUAAGUGCUGAAAGCAUCUAAGCACGAAACUUGCCCCGAGAUGAGUUCUCCCUGAGACUUUAAGUCUCCUGAAGGAACGUUGAAGACGACGACGUUGAUAGGUCGGGUGUGUAAGCGCAGCGAUGCGUUGAGCUAACCGAUACUAAUGAACCGUGAGGCUUAACCUU